This 8435-nucleotide long non-coding RNA is filed under the name Lactuca sativa (garden lettuce). Its description in RNAcentral is "long non-coding RNA (LSAT_LNC000191)". Lineage: Eukaryota; Viridiplantae; Streptophyta; Magnoliopsida; Asterales; Asteraceae. The record is from RNAcentral.
AGGAAUCAAGAAGUGGUAGUAGAUAGGCUCACCGUUGAUAUAACCUAUCUCCUUCAUCAUAUCGUCUAACUCAUGUACGGAAAACACGUCCAUGUCUACGUAGUCAACAUAGUCAAUACUCCCACCAACGUAACGUCUUCCUGGGUAUUUUGUGAACAUACCCCCAUGGUGAAUCUUGAAUGUGCAAAAACUACUUAACUCAACUGAAAAACAAAUAAAUAAUGAUAUGAGGAAAGAAUGAAGUCUCAAAAUUGAAUGUGCAUAAAUUACUUAACAAAAUUGAAAGUUGUUAACUGAUCACUCACCAUAAGCUUUGAUCAGGUCAGGAUUUUCUGAGAAUUUUGAACGGACAUUCCACAAAGUUAGAACGAUCGCAAAAGAUGAAAAUGAAAACCCUAGUUUCCGUUUGAUGUUUUGAAGUGAUGAAGAUGAAAAACCAGAGGAGAAAAGAAAGGGAUGAUUUCUUGGGGUAAUGUAAAUGGCAGCUAGAUGUAAGGAUCAUUUAUGAAUAUGAUCAUUUCGUGUAACAAAGCAAAAGACCAAAAUACCCUCGUGUGAGGGUCACGUGAUUUAGAUAAACGGAAACAAUUAAACGGAGUAUGUCAUAAGGACUAUUCGUGCAACAAUUUGGAACCAUAGGGACCAUACUCGUCCAAAAUUCCUCAUAAGGACUAUCUUUGGUCUCUUGUGCCAACCACAGGGACCAUCUGUGUAAUUUUGUCUUUUUUUAAAGAUAGUUCAUAAUUUUUCUAUUAUAUACAUUGUAAAUGAAAUUGAGAACUUAAGUAGGUCCUAGGACCUACCUAAGCACAUGGUGGAUACGCCCCUGUUACCCACACUAACCUCAUACACUUACAACACAAAUGAACUUGAACGGUCUAAGACCAAACCAAGAUAUAAUAUGAAAUGUGUAAGUAUAGUUUAAUAGAUGAAAGUGAGGUGUUGUUUGGGCUUGAAAAGUAGGGGUGAGCAUGGUGCGAUUUUUUGAGAAAACCGAACCGCAAACCGCAAGAUGCGGUUUCUAUAGGGUAAAACCGAUAGGUGUGGUUUUUGUUUCGGCGUGGUUUUACAUGCAUUUUCGGUGUCAUUCGAUGCGGUUUCGGUUUUUAACUGAAAAUAUGUGUUGGUGUGAUUUUUCAUACAUGUGUUGAUCUACCAAAGAAGUAAUAACCCCUAAAGAAGCUAGAGCAAGGCCUAAUUGAAAAUGAAGCCAAUUAUUAAUUGUGUCAUAAAGACCCUCAUGCCCACGUCUCAAUCGCCCUCUUGGAGGGAUAUGUGCAUCUAAAAGAUCUUUCAUACUGUGCCCAAUCCCAAAAUUAGUUCUAUACAUAUGCCCAACAAUAAGAAAAAGAAAUGCAAUAGCUAAAUAAUGAUGAGUCAUAUCAGCAUGUCCAAACCCGACUUUUCAGUUAACUUUCCUUUAUUUCCGGUACAGAUUCUCAUUUAAAUGUAUUUAACAUGCUUGUGAAAUAGUUAUAUGUUAUUCUUAUCAAAAUAUAGACUUCUUUAUGAUAUUACGAUUUUGAGAUUUGAAUUAUAUGUUUGAUGCAACAAGGGAUUUGGUUUUAUAAUCUCAAAUUCCAUUACUUAAUCAUUAUUGUUUAUACAGAUAGAGGCGGCUUUUGAUUCGAAUUGCAUUUUGCUUGUGAUAAGCAAAAGGAAAAUUGUUAAUGGUACGCACUUUGAUACAAAUGUCAAAUUUUAUAAAAAUAUAGCAAAACAUAAGGCAUGCACAGUGGCAAAAAGAACUGAAGAGGUCGAAGUUGAACAAAAUAUACUUUUAUUAAUAAGUAUUAUAAUAUAUUAAAUAUUGUCAGGUUUUUAUGGUGCUGUUUGGCAUUGUCCAAACCGCACCACACCGAAAAAUUACCAAUUAAGGUUGGAUUGGAAUGCAUAAUUAUCAAUUUAUCCUUAAUAAGUCAUAAAUCAACAAAAAUGGCCCAACAAUUUUCUUAAUCUUAAUUGUUGCCUUUGGAUUAGAAAUCAUCAACGAUCAAGAUUGGUUCUCACAAUUCUCUAAUCUCUACUUUUAUGUUGUUUUCAUUUGAACUCAACCCAAAAAUCUCACCAGUAAUCACCACACGAACAAAUCCCGUUCUUGAAAUGAUGAAACCUAUUUGUAUCCCGAAGAAUAAUUUCCCGCUCAACAAUCUUGGAAAUAAGCUUAGCAGCAAUAUGACAAUCCUCACAAACACGUAGAUUUUUAGUAAUCCGUAUAGGCGUAAAAGCUUUAGUAUUUAUAAUCACAAACACAAUAGCAAGCUUCUCACUAUGAACAGCAAGAUGAUUUCCUUUAUCUUCAUCUUCUAUAUCAUGAAGUGCAGAAUCCACUUCAGGAACAUACCCAAAAUCCCUCAUCUUCCCCACAAGUACUUCCAACUCUUGAUAAAUCUGUUUAGAUUGUGGAUGGGAUUGAUCUCCAGCAAGAAACGAAUGAACUUGAUUAUUAAGCUCAACAUUACUAACACCGGGCUCUUUUUUCACUCCUUUUGAUUUCAUUAUUGAACGAAUAUUUGUCACAUCUUUAAAUCUACCUGCUUUUGCGUAUAUAUUUGAUAAUAAAACAUAAUACCCUGCUUGUUCAGGGACCAAUUCAAAGAGAUGAUCUGCUGCUACAAGACCAAUUUCCAUGUUGGAAUGAACUUUACAAGCACUUAACAAAGCACCCCAGAUUCUAUCGUUUGGUUUUGUUUUCAUUUUCUUUAUAAAAUCAUAAGCUUCAUUGAUUCUUCCUGAUCUUCCUAGCAAAUCAACCAUGCACGCCAAGUGUUCGAGUCUUGGAAUGAUGUUAUACUCUUCGGUCAUCAAUUUGAAGAAAUGUUUUCCUUGGUUUAGUAAUCCGGCAUGGCUGCAGGCUGAUAGAACUGGAACGAAGGAAAUGGAAUCAGGGGCGAUUCCGGAAUUUUGCAUAUUUGAAAAGACUGUGAUAGCAGUUUCACCAUCUCCAGUCAUGCCAUAAGCAGAGACCAUGGAAGUCCAGGAGACGACAUCUCUUGUUGGCAUUUCAUCGAACACCUUGCGUGCUUCGUUUAAAGACCCACAUUUAGCAUACAUGUCAAUCAAGGCGUUCUCUACUGUUAGAUUAGGAAGAAGCCUUUUUGUUUUUACAUAUGAAUGAAUCUUUCUUCCUAGUAAUAAAGCUGAAAGAUCUCCACAAGCGGGUAGGAUGCUAGCAACUGUGAUUGAAUCCGGGUCGAUUCCGUAAUUCUCCAUUUGUUGAUAAAGAUUAACUGCAUCUUUAGGCAUCGAGUUGUUGACGUACACAGCUAUCAUGACAUUCCAAGAAAUUAAACUCUCUCGAGCGUGAUUCAUGAACAUUUCUUUCAUAAACAUCACGUUGGUAGAUGAAGUAGAAGUUGUUAAAGCAGGGGAAAGGCUGGCCAUGGUGCCUGCGUUGGGUUUUGAGGUAGAACAUUGCAUCAUUGUCUUACAAAUCUCCAAUGCAUCUUCAAACAUCCGGUUUUGGGCGUAGGCAGCAACCAUAGCAUUCCAGGAGACGAUAUCUCUACUAGGCAUUUCAUCAAACACCUGGCGUCCUUCCAGUAACCGGUUACAUUUUCCAUACAUUGUAAUCAAUCCAUUCCCUACAUAAAGAUUUGAAUGCAGACCCUUCUUGAGAACAGCAACAUGGGUUUGUAAUCCGACCCACAAAUUCUCAGACACGGAACAUGCUUUUAGAACUUGAGGAACUGUAAAAUGAUCAGGGUUAAUGUUGAACUUGAACAUGUUUCUGUACAUACGAAGUGCUUUUUCGUAGAAUUCAUUGUUUACGUAGCUUCUAAUCAUCACAUUGAAGAAGACUACAUCUUUUUGAGGAAAUUCAUCAAACAGUUGGCGGGUAACUGCGAUUUGGCGACAUUCAGAAUAAGCUUUCAUUAAUUUCAGAGCAAUAUGCGAUGCUGAGACGAGGUUUCCAUCAAUAAUUAACCUACAAUGUAUCUUUUUCAAUUGUUUGAUAUCUGGGCACUUGUCCAAGAUUUUGAUACACAAGUCUUCUGUGAUUAACAUGAUUGUUAAGGCGAGAUUUGAAUGAAUUUGAACUUAUAUUCCUUUCGCCAUGUUGUACCUGAGGGGCAAUCAAAUAGAAUGGACGAAGAUAACGAAGGUUUACUUGGUGGUGUUCACUUAAAAACAAGAAAUAUGAAGUUCUAAACGCUAUUUCUUGUUAAACAGAAAAUAUUUUGUCCAAUCUAAAAAUCCAAUUUUUGAGUAAGUUCAAGCUUAAGCUCAAAAAUAGUAAGCAAAACAUGUUUAAAAAAUAAAAGUUCGUUUGAAACUCUUUGGAUAGCUCGAGUAUAACAAUCAUCAUAAUUAUAGUCAAUAAAUCAGGCUCAAACAACCAAACUUGAUGUCCAGCCCUUGAUCAUCCAAUUGCCAACUGAAAUCAACUUAGUUUCCGGUUUUAGAAUCGCCCUAACAUUACAUAAGCACCAACUAGUUCCAAAAGUAGUUUUUAAUUCAAUGUCUCCCAUACCCGUGACUUCAAGGGUUUCCAUGUUACCCAACCUUACCAACUUAAGAUAAGUUCUUUACUUCAAUUACUAUAACAGAUCGAUGAGUCAUGUUCUAAUGACCUCUCGUCAUAUGAUGCAAUGCUUAGACUCGAGUCUUUUAAAGUCAAAUUCUAUAAUGAAAUAUACAUUCCUUCAAGUUUCUAAUGUGAUAUAAUCACAUUCUAGCAUGUAUCACUUCUAGCUACAAGCUUCUUACUUUAACAACAAUCACAAUACUUCUAUUGAUCGCUUUGAUUAUCUUUCAGUUCAAUCUUCUGGCUUAAGUCAGAUGCUACAUCGAUCUUGGUUCUCUGAACCACGUACAAUACUUAUCCUAGCUGUAAUCGAUUUGAUAUGACCACUAGGGUCGGAAUAACAAUCAUCUUCUUAGUCAUUACCGAAAUUAUGGUAAUGACACAUGAACAAAACAGAAUCAAUUACUAGCGUCUUGGUAACUCGUGACUUUCCCUGAUCCAAGUGCGAGUCGUGUGCUUCCAGUAGUAUAUGCCUCUACUACCUUUCACACCUACUCAUACUUGUCCCAAGUAUUGUCUUUCAGUUCUCCAAGUCACCAUAAAAGAAUUUCACAUAGUCAUUUAACACAUCGAAUAACAAAACUAAGGUUUAUAUUAUUUCUUGAAACGAUUACAUAGAUAUUCAAGUUCACCUUAUACCAUGCCUUUUAUAUUAGGCUACACCACAUGAUACUAUCUAUAUGGCUACUUUAUAUCUCGAUCUUCAGAUAUAUAUAGAUCCCUACUCCUAAUCCCUUGUAUCGUCACCUGCUUCAUCCAGGUUAGACUUCGAGAAUCUUCCUUUCUUAUCGAAUCUUGAGGAUCCCUCAAGCUUCUUCUUUUCUCAUGCCUUGUCUUAUUCCAGACCCUUUUUCCUAAAUUAGGUUUCCAUAUUCUUGGUUGCUCUAACGGUUGUCUUCAAAGUAGUUGCCAUUUUUACCAUUGCGCCAAAUUAUGCUGGCAAUCCGUUAGCAAAACUAUCUAUCUUGGAGAGUUCAGUAGCACCAAGUAGGGGAAUAACUUCAUCUGCUCGGUGAAUACGGUGACAUACUCAUCAACACUCAUCUUCCUUUUCUUCAAGUUCGAAACUCGUUGUUUAGGUCUAUCAGAUCUAUCUCUGAGCAGUAUUGCAUUUUCAACUGCUCCAUGAAUGCUUCCCACCUCAGGGCUUCUCCCCCAUGGCUUUGUAUCUGCCAAUAACUUCCACCAACUUAAAACUCUGGUCUUUAGUUGUCUGACUGUAAAGACGGUUUUCUGCUUGUUGCUGCAAUUGCAACUUUCAAAUGUCAUCUCUAUCUCGGAGAUCCAAUCCAUGAUCUCUACUGGCUUCGGGCUUCCAGAAAGACUUGGUGGUUUGGCACCUAAGAAGUUCUUAUACAUACGUUCAUCCUUAUCAAUCGCUUUUUUCGGGUCGUUCCUCCUUGCCACUCGGGGUUCAGCUUGACUCACUGUACGACUGUAAUUUCCCUCCUCCGACAAUUCUUCAUUCAGUUCGGGUUGCACGAUAGGCACAAUAGGUUCAUCCCUAUUAUCAAGAAACAUUUUUCUCAUCUCCUCCCUUUGUUCGGCCAUCAUAGCCCAAAUCAUUGCUUAGACUCUUGCCAUCGUGAUUGGCUCGGGUGCAGCUACUACCUCUGGUGCACAUUUAAUCACUCGUGGUUCAGGCUGUUAGUUUUCAUUAGCAUUUUCUAAUAUGUUGCGAGUUCUCACCAUUUCGAUCUAUACACUCUAGAGAUGUUCAGUGUACAGUGACGAGAAUUAAGAUAUGGAAAGCUUUAUUUACGACAGCCAUAUAAAUCUUCUUAUCACUCGUAAAAGUUAUAUACUAGUUCUAAUACCGUAAUUAAAUGUUUGGAAAUUUUGAGCAAAUGACGGUUCAUCAACAAUAGAGCGAAUCUCAUUUAGGAAUUCGUUGAUAGGUCGAUUUCCUUUAGGAUUUUUAGCAAGUUUGGAUUUUAAAGAGAUGAUUCUUGAGCAGGAGGUGCUGGCAUAGCUUGUGUUGAGAUGCUUUCAUGCUUCUUUUGUGGUAAAUACAGAGGUAAUGAUAGGUUGAAUGAAUUGCAUCUGAGCAUGAACCAAGAAUUGCAUCGAAUACUACAUGAUCUUGGCGAUAGCAAGUCGUGUAUUCAUGAUUAGGUUUGGAUUUGUCUUUGUCGAUAAUGAAUUUUGUGGUAGGAUCAGUCACCCAUGUGAUGUAAUCUUCCAGACCUAGUCCAAUAAAUGUGGACUGCACUUGUCGCCUCCAUACAUGGAAGUUGUUGGUGAGUAAUUUGGUAGGAAAGUGACUUGAGGCGGUGAUUUGUAUUUGGGAUGAUUGUGUCAUGGUGAUGUUGAUGAAAAGGAUUAGAGGAGAAAGGCAAGAUGAUCGAUUGACUCUUUAGAGUGUGUGUGCUCUGAUACGAUAUGAGAUUUGAGAAUCAAUGGGCUCGAAUGAAUAAUUUCAUUUACAAAGAUCGAUACAUAUAUAGAUGGUAACGAGAGUUAAAGAGCUAUACAUGGAAUUUACUAAGAAUAGAUUGCAAUUACAUACAAAUAGAAGAGAUUAUUGUAGAUUAGUCAUGAAGAUGUGUACGAUGUUAUAGUUAGAUUGCUUAUUUGCAAUCCAUGUUAGCUAAGUAUGUCAUGUUGAAUACAAAUUGUAUUAAAACAUUAAAGUUCCAACCAUUAUAUGUUGAAGAAGAAGCAAAUACGCCUUAGUCACACCCAUUCUAAAUGAUAUGGAUGUUAUGGUUGUCGUUUCUAUGCAACCAAAUCGUGAUUCCAAGUUGCAGUUGUCUUACCAAUAUAUCAUGUUAGGAAAAGAUGACAUAGCAUGAAAUAUUGUAUGUUACAACAAAAAGAUAUAUCUUAUAGAUGUCUUGCACAUGGGUUAUUCCUUUUUAAGCACUUAUAUAAAAAUAAUAUCACGUAUGUAUGAUAUCUAUUUUGAGAGAUUUUUAGCAAGCAACUCUUUGUCUAUUAUUGUUAUUGGAUAGAAAAAGUAUCAUCUUCGUUGGGAAGAUUUUACUAGGAUUAGAUUCAUAAUAGUUUGUCAAAGAUUUUACUAUUAUGUAUUUAUAAACCCAUGAAGUUUUCUAUUAAAUAAAUAAAUAAAUAACCAUUCACCAUUUAUAUCUUUUUGGAAUAGAGUUUGUUAAAUUCUAAUAUAAAUAAAAAGAGUAUUUAUUUAGAUUCACACAUUACAAAAUUACAAACUCCAAGCAUAAAUCCGAAACUUAUUUUUAAACUUCUUCAUUUAUAUUACAAGUUUUAUUCUUUUUUCCCAACCCACUUGGGGUUUCGAAACCCUAAAAAAGUUCUAUCCAUGGAAGUUCAUAUUUAUUUCUUAUCUUAAUGAAUUUAAGGUCUAAAUCAAUAAAUGGCAAUGUAGAAUUAACCGCAUAUAUUAAGUUAUUUUUGGAAGCUUUCCAACACAACACAGAAAGGAAAUGAUGAGAAUUUAUGGUACCAAAUAACAAAAUAAUCCCGGUUCCUAUAAAAAUUUAUUAAAGCUCUACUCAUGAUUUCAUAAUCUCCUCUAAUAUGAGGGUUACGUUAUUGUAAUAAUAACUAUGAUAAUGUAAAAGCCAUAACAUAAAUCGUCUUAAUUUAAGAAAUAAUAUAAAUCCCAAGAUAUUGUUUUUAAAAUAAAAAGGAAAAAAGUGGGAGUCCAUUAGAAGGAGCCAAGCUGAUUAUUUGAGCCAAGAGAGCACCGAUUUGUUAUCCUUCCACUGUUCGAAGCGAGAGGUUAUCGCAGCUCUGUGAAGCCAGCCUAACGCAUUGCCCUCUGCUCUAGGAACCAAGAAGCCCAAGCCUUCGCUCAAGCCACUUGAUCCAACUCCGAACUUGGAACGGGCAAACCAGAUUUUGCAACAGCUUUGACCCAACCAAACAAGGCUCGAUCUCAGUCCAUCCCACUUUAGAGCCCUCACUUGAGUCACAAGCUCGC